CUCCUCCGUCAAUUCUAUAUGCUCUGGUUACUCUGCCUUUCUUACUGCACUGUGCAUUGUUUGGAUAACUAGAAUAAUUCUUCUUGGUGUUGUAUUUGAGCCACAGAUUAUUCAAGGGGGGAGUCUCUGACAGAUGUGUGUUUAAUUGUAAACCUGAAGCCCUGUUCAGUAAACCAUUUGUGUGGUAACUACAGAUUUAUAAAUUAUUCCAGCAAAACUAUGUAAUGAUAAAUUUGAUAUCACUGAAGGCAUGAAUCUUAAUUGCAUAUCUUACAUUUUUAACUAUCUACUGAAUUGUGUAUCUUACAUUUCUAUCUAUCUAUCAUCCAAGGCAUAUGUUAGGGAAAUAUAGUCUUGAAAAUCCUUAGUCCCUAUUAUAUGUCAUUAAAUCAUUUUAAUACAA
This is a long non-coding RNA of Macrobrachium nipponense, 403 nucleotides long. RefSeq lists it as uncharacterized. The record is from RefSeq and is a predicted model, not a curated record. Lineage: Eukaryota; Metazoa; Arthropoda; Malacostraca; Decapoda; Palaemonidae. The transcript has 2 exons.